This is a non-coding RNA of Punica granatum (pomegranate), 3275 nucleotides long. The record is from RefSeq and is a predicted model, not a curated record. Lineage: Eukaryota; Viridiplantae; Streptophyta; Magnoliopsida; Myrtales; Lythraceae.
UCCAAUCCGUAUUCCUCAGAUGAGAUGGAGAGAGUCCUCUCUCCUCCCCACCUCUCUCUAUCUCUCUCUCUCUCUCUCUCUCUCUCACGGGGAGCGUUUCUCUCCGGGAAAAGAGGCCACCUCGCCUGUACUAUUUAUGCAUCCUUCUCUCUCUUUCUCUCUCGCUCCCGCAACUGCAACGCUCAACGCCAUUUCCUUCCUCUCUCAACGCCCCGUCGAUGGACCGUUGCGAUCGUCCCUCCCACCGACCGAUGCGUUUCCUCCCGACCAUGCCGCAGAAGCCCAGCUCCUCAAUCCUCUGUCCCUUGGCUCCUCCCCGAUGAAGGUGAUUGUCCUUUCAUCCCGCUCGACUCUGCGUUCAGUUCCUGCUUGAUUCUCGUCGGUGAUUACUUUCUAUUUGUUUCCUGAUUGUCUCGGAUGACGUUUUCGAUUGAUUGAUUCUGCUGUAGCUCCUUGUCGUCCCUCUAUCUUCCCCCGGACUCUCAAUUGCAUGUCUCUGACAUUAUAUAGCUCAAUAGCUCAAAUCGGUGUUCUCUUCUGUAAUCUAGAAUUAUGCUUCGAUCAGUGCUCGGGCGAGUAGCUCUUCUUUGCUGUUCUCUGCAGCUUUUGGAUUCUAUCUGAUGGAUUGAUUCUGCUUUAUCUGGAUGUGAUAUUUGGUUUACUAUUUAGCUUAAUCUGAUCGGCAGCUCCUCUGUUCCAUGAUCUACAAUUUUGGUUUUCGCUGAUUGAUUGACCCUGCUUUUAGCUUCUUAUUACAUUCAAUCUCUUUCUUCUAGAUUGUACUGGGUGGAUUCUGCUGUAGAGUUUAUCCUGAUUGAGUUGGGUGUGCUGCUUAUUCUAGUAGGCCACUUCUCUAUGAUCUAGAGUUUCAUUGCUGAUGAUUCGGCUUAUUACAGUUGCUGGCUUGGUGCAUUAACGGCUUAUUCCUGAUUGUUAUGCUCCUGUUUGCUGAUCUGGAAUUACGUUUUCUCAUGACUUGCCUCGUAAUCAUGUUGCGAUAUCAUCCUAUUUCUAGAUGCUGGAUUCUUCUCUCGGCGAACUGGAUGUUUGCUUUAAGUAAAUUAAUUUUGCUUGACUAUAGUUCACAAUCUCUCUGCUCUCUGACUUUGAAUUUUGUUUUUGUUGAUUCGACGGCUCCUUUAAUUGUGUAUGAUGGUUAAUGCUUCUCGUUGAUCAAUUUUCUGUCAAAUGCGAUGCCUGUUGGAGCUCAAAAAACUUGUUUUCAGAUUGGACCUUGAAAUGAGGGAGCUGAUAUUUUAAUGCAUUAUAGAUGUUCAAAUAUGGUUAGACCUCUCAUAUCUGCACUGUCAGUGUAGAAUUAACUUGAAAAUUUCGCAAGUAUCCACUGUAUACUAAAAAUGCUCUUUUCGUAUUAUAUUCAUUCUCGAUAGCUAUAAGGUGCUUAUAUAACAAUAGUAAAUGGAUCUUCACUGCAUACAUAUGAAAGCUUAAGUUUCCACAAGUUUUCUUUGGUCAUUGACCCUUCUCAAAUCUGCAGGAUCCAUUUAAUUUCUUUCUCAUGUUUAAAUUUGCACUUAGAGCAUAGAUAAUUUCUCAAAUGGAUGUUCAAUUUCUUAUUAAGUACCUUAUACUGCUUGACUAAGGUUAUAAAAAAUGGGGUAUAAAAUCUGUUUUUAGAGGCUUUUUUUCUUUUGUUUUUUCCAUCAAAAAGUUGUUAAAAUUUGUCUUCCAGAUAACUACAAUCUGAUGCUGUAAAGUAAUGACAUGAACAGUAAGUGGAUUUGCACUCCAUUAUAAUGUAGGGUAAAGGGCUUGUGGGAGGUUGACGAUGCUAUAUCUUGGAUAAGAUUAUUCUCACUGACUAGUCUACAGAGUCGAUUUAAACUUACCUUUCAUAUUAUGGACCUUUUAAUAAGUUAUAUCUUGCCAUUGGAUUUCCAUCACAAUAUUCCUAAAAGGACUAUGAGACAGAUGAUAUUCUUAUUAAACACCAACUAACCAAGAGGGUUUCUGGUGGCCUGAUGCCUGUCGUCUGGACUGAUUCUGGAACAAAACCAAUAAAGCAUUUGGAUUGUUUCAAAUCAGGAUCAUGGAGCUGGACCAAAGGCUGCUUCUUUAUGUAUACAUGCAUAAUAUGGCUGUGGCCUCCACGCAGCCCUGCUGAAUUUCUAAGAAAGCAUGAUCUGAUGAUCAGGCAAUCAAUUGCUGCCACCCCUGUCCUGACUGCUACAGUUUCAUGGAAGCCUAUAAGUCAGACCUAUAUCGUGUUUCUUUUUUAGCCUGCAGAUCUAUAUCGCGUUGAUCGUUCAUUUCUUAACAUAGAUCUAUUUAUAUUCAUUUAUUUAUCAUGAUACAUUGGAGAUUCUCAGAACUUUGCUACUGCAUAUAAGCACGCGUUAUUGCCCAACAUAGUUUGAACAGGAGCUGGAGAUCAAAUUUUCAAGUUAGUGGAUUGAUUGUUUCUCACAGAAUGGCCAGCUUCAGGUGGAAGUUCCAUCUUACAGGAGGGAUACAGAAAGGAUGAGGAACAGUGUUUGAGUCCGAACUGAUAAUUAUAGCGCAACAAAACAGAUUGAAGUCCAAAGAUUCCGGUACCAAGGUGACAGAGAAAAUGCAAUGUACUACAACUACAACUACAAAAUAAAAGAAUCUUUUUACAAGGAAAUUACUAUCGCUCCAUCAGGUUUUCUGAUGAUCGCCCAUCCUCAGAGCUGUUCCAUUAGCUGCCCUCCUGCAUAUCCCAGCCCUCCAUCUGCAUUUGGACAAGGAUUCAACAGUUCUAAGUGAGGUUACUGUGAUUGAGCAUAAAUCUGAGGUUGCGGCAAUUGAGUUGAUACAGUUACAGAACGAACAGAUCUAAGAGCCGGCUUUAUCAAAUUAUCAGCACGGACCAACAAUCAUCAAUGUACAACCAAGCGCAGCAAAGUAUGCUAUGUUUCAGAUGCAUCUAUUACCACUUUCACCAUCAGAUGCAUCUCCGAGCCGUGCAAUUGCAUCAAUGAGGGCUUGUUCAUGCUCCUGCACAUUGAGAACAAAGGUUAACCACAAAUUCCAGAUCGUUGAGAUGCAAAUUGAACAGGAGCACCAAAGGCCUAUAUCUCACUUUAAGCAUCUUCUUCGCCUUCGCGAUCUCCAUAAGGUUGGGAUUGCUCGCAUCAAAGACCCUCUCCACCUGACCAUUCCAACAAAGAAACAUGCUGUCCCUGUAAAUGAUGUGUGUAUAUGCAACAUAUUCAUGCUUUGUAUCUAUAUGCAACAUAUUCAAAACACAAACCUCCUUCACUAAUGAAUCUGUGUUGAAAAGUUCGAUAUCA